This 326-nucleotide ribosomal RNA is filed under the name Salmonella enterica. Its description in RNAcentral is "bacterial SSU rRNA". It matches the Rfam family "Bacterial small subunit ribosomal RNA", at positions 1153 to 1478 of the family's 1533-position model. RNAcentral also lists the same sequence under 3 other names. The record is from RNAcentral. Lineage: Bacteria; Pseudomonadati; Pseudomonadota; Gammaproteobacteria; Enterobacterales; Enterobacteriaceae.
CAGUGAUAAACUGGAGGAAGGUGGGGAUGACGUCAAGUCAUCAUGGCCCUUACGACCAGGGCUACACACGUGCUACAAUGGCGCAUACAAAGAGAAGCGACCUCGCGAGAGCAAGCGGACCUCAUAAAGUGCGUCGUAGUCCGGAUUGGAGUCUGCAACUCGACUCCAUGAAGUCGGAAUCGCUAGUAAUCGUGGAUCAGAAUGCCACGGUGAAUACGUUCCCGGGCCUUGUACACACCGCCCGUCACACCAUGGGAGUGGGUUGCAAAAGAAGUAGGUAGCUUAACCUUCGGGAGGGCGCUUACCACUUUGUGAUUCAUGACUGG